AUUGAACGCUGGCGGAAUGCUUUACACAUGCCAGUCGAGCGGCAGCACGGGGGUAACCCUGGUGGCGAGCGGCGAACGGGUGAGUAAUACAUCGGAACAUGCCCAGUCGUGGGGGAUAACACUUCGAAAGAAGUGCUAAUACCGCAUACGUCCUGAGGGAGAAAGCGGGGGAUCGCAAGACCUCGCGCGAUUGGAGUGGCCGAUGUCAGAUUAGCUAGUUGGUGGGGUAAAGGCCUACCAAGGCAACGAUCUGUAGCUGGUCUGAGAGGAUGAUCAGCCACACUGGGACUGAGACACGGCCCAGACUCCUACGGGAGGCAGCAGUGGGGAAUUUUGGACAAUGGGGGCAACCCUGAUCCAGCCAUUCCGCGUGAGUGAAGAAGGCCUUCGGGUUGUAAAGCUCUUUCGGCAGGAACGAAACGGUGAGCUCUAACAUAGCUUGCUAAUGACGGUACCUGAAGAAGAAGCACCGGCUAACUACGUG
RNAcentral lists this ribosomal RNA (484 nucleotides) under uncultured bacterium. RNAcentral describes it as "partial 16S ribosomal RNA". It matches the Rfam family "Bacterial small subunit ribosomal RNA", at positions 30 to 507 of the family's 1533-position model. The record is from RNAcentral.